This 218-nucleotide long non-coding RNA is filed under the name Nicotiana benthamiana. RNAcentral's name for it is "long non-coding RNA (NBEN_LNC017714)". Lineage: Eukaryota; Viridiplantae; Streptophyta; Magnoliopsida; Solanales; Solanaceae. The record is from RNAcentral.
AGCCAUGGGAGAGAAGAAAGAAGAAGGCGAUUAGGGUUAGGGAGGAUCGGUUUAAUAAUUUCACCACACACUUGUGGACUCUCAUUCAUUGAAUAUUUAUAGGAUACAAAUACAAGUUAUAAUACAAUAAGAUUUACACAAAUCCCUAACUUGUAGGAGAGCUAACUAAUUUAUAUUUAUCUAGGAUUCUAUCAUGAUCUUCAAUAUUAUCUCUAAUA